Molecule: long non-coding RNA, 753 nt
Organism: Xenia sp. Carnegie-2017
Lineage: Eukaryota; Metazoa; Cnidaria; Anthozoa; Malacalcyonacea; Xeniidae
Exons: 2
Source: RefSeq, a predicted model, not a curated record
CUUUGGGGCAACCAUUUGAUGGAUUUAAAUGCUGAAAAGAGGACCCCUCUGUAAACAACUUUUAGUGAUGUUGGCAUCCUCAAAAAAGAUUAGCUGUUAUUAUUAUUACUUCUUUUGAAUAGUAUCUGAACAGCAUUGAUUAUCGUAAACAUGCAGUGUUGCAAUUGAAAAUCAUCGCAAAAGAUGUUUCGGGAAAAACAUGAAAAAGGUGGAAGUGAAACUUGAAGAGAUACAUGAAAAUUUGAACAAAAAACAGAACUUUAAUCAUGUGAGAUUAGUAAGGACUAAUGUAAGAGAACAAAAAGCAGCAAUUCUCAAGCAGUAUAGCAAAAGCAAAGCAACUGUUUUUUUUGAUGAGUUGCAUCAGCGGAUGAAGACAAAGGAAAUGGAAAGGGAGCUCUUGAAGUUGAAAAACGAAUGGACGAAAAAGGAAAAGAUGUAAAACGAGAGUGAAAAUGAAUUGAUUUUCAUGCACAAAAGGAAAAGUAAAGGAGUUGAACACUUUGAAAACAUUCUAAACAAGACGGAUGACAGAAGAGAGGAGAGGGAAAAAUGAGAGAAGUGUAUCAUAUAGUUUUGCCAGAUAAAAGGACACUCAAUGAUAUCAUAAAAUCGUAUAGGACUGAAUUUACUUAGCUGAAACAUUCCAAAGACGAUAAAUUUGAAGGAAAUAUAACACAUAAUUAAGAUAUUUAAGAAGAUAUACCUGAAAGUCAUGUAUUACACAUGAUAUUACACCUAAUCAUAGUUGAA